Molecule: small nuclear RNA, 125 nt
Filed under: Canis lupus familiaris (dog)
Lineage: Eukaryota; Metazoa; Chordata; Mammalia; Carnivora; Canidae
Description: U4 spliceosomal RNA
Rfam family: U4 spliceosomal RNA
About the family: U4 small nuclear RNA (U4 snRNA) is a component of the major U2-dependent spliceosome. The structure of U4 snRNA from yeast and human has been reported. U4 snRNA presents a k-turn RNA motif in the 5p-SL related to recognition of Snu13 protein.
Source: Rfam by way of RNAcentral
AGCUUUGCGCAGAGGUAGUAUCGUAGCCAAUGAGGUUUAUCCGAGACGCUAUUAUUGCUGAUUUAAAAGAUACGUAUAUUUAUAUGCACAUAAAUAUACAUAUAUUUUUUCAUGGGUCGCAGGCA